UACGGAGGGUGCAAGCAUUAAUCGGAUUUAUUGGGCGUAAAGGGCGCGUAGGCGGUUAAGUAAGUCAGAUGUGAAAUUCCGGAGCUCAACUUCGGAGCUGCAUUUGAAACUACUUGACUUGAGGGAUGGCGGAGAAAACGGAAUUCCACGUGUAGCGGUGAAAUGCGUAGAUAUGUGGAAGAACACCUGUGGCGAAAGCGGUUUUCUAGCUAUUUUCCUGACGCUGAGGCGCGAGAGCAAGGGGAGCAAACAGG
Molecule: ribosomal RNA, 254 nt
Filed under: uncultured bacterium
Lineage: Bacteria
Description: partial 16S ribosomal RNA
Rfam family: Bacterial small subunit ribosomal RNA
Source: RNAcentral